AACGAACGCUGGCGGCAUGCCUAACACAUGCAAGUCGAACGAGACCUUCGGGUCUAGUGGCGCACGGGUGCGUAACGCGUGGGAACCUGCCCUUAGGUUCGGAAUAACUCCCCGAAAGGGGUGCUAAUACCGGAUAAUGUCUUCGGACCAAAGAUUUAUCGCCUUUGGAUGGGCCCGCGUUGGAUUAGCUAGUUGGUAGGGUAAAGGCCUACCAAGGCGACGAUCCAUAGCUGGUCUGAGAGGAUGAUCAGCCACACUGGGACUGAGACACGGCCCAGACUCCUACGGGAGGCAGAAGUGGGGAAUAUUGGACAAUGGGCGAAAGCCUGAUCCAGCAAUGCCGCGUGAGUGAUGAAGGCCUUAGGGUUGUAAAGCUCUUUUACCCGGGAUGAUAAUGACAGUACCGGGAGAAUAAGCUCCGGCUAACUCCGUG
This 433-nucleotide ribosomal RNA is filed under the name uncultured bacterium. RNAcentral describes it as "partial 16S ribosomal RNA". It matches the Rfam family "Bacterial small subunit ribosomal RNA", at positions 29 to 507 of the family's 1533-position model. The record is from RNAcentral.